CCUACGGGGGGCAGCAGUAGGGAAUCUUCCACAAUGGGCGAAAGCCUGAUGGAGCAACGCCGCGUGGGUGAAGAAGGUCUUCGGAUCGUAAAACCCUGUUGUUAGAGAAGAAAGUGCGUGAGAGUAACUGUUCACGUUUCGACGGUAUCUAACCAGAACGCCACGGCUAACUACGUGCCAGCAGCCGCGGUAAUACGUAGGUGGCAAGCGUUAUCCGGAUUUAUUGGGCGUAAAGGGAACGCAGGCGGUCUGUUAAGUCUGAUGUGAAAGCCUUCGGCUUAACCGGAGUAGUGCAUUGGAAACUGGGAGACUGGAGUGCAGAAGAGGAGAGUGGAACUCCAUGUGUAGCGGUGAAAUGCGUAGAUAUAUGGAAGAACACCAGUGGCGAAAGCGGCUCUCUGGUCUGUAACUGACGCUGAGGUUCGAAAGCGUGGGUAGCAAACAGGAUUAGAUACCCUUGUAGUC
RNAcentral lists this ribosomal RNA (465 nucleotides) under uncultured bacterium. Its description in RNAcentral is "partial 16S ribosomal RNA". It matches the Rfam family "Bacterial small subunit ribosomal RNA", at positions 338 to 795 of the family's 1533-position model. The record is from RNAcentral.